This 504-nucleotide long non-coding RNA is filed under the name Trifolium pratense (red clover). RNAcentral describes it as "long non-coding RNA (TPRA_LNC002074)". Lineage: Eukaryota; Viridiplantae; Streptophyta; Magnoliopsida; Fabales; Fabaceae. The record is from RNAcentral.
UUUUUUUUUUCAUAUCUCAAUUUCGUGGUUUUUCAAUUUUUGGGUGUUGGAUUUUUUUGUUUUAGGUUAUUAGGGUUCAUAGAAAAUUGUCCUUAUUUUUGUUUUUGCUAGUGGGGUUACAGUGAAACACAAAACUGAAGAAUUUUGGAACCGAAAAUUAGAGAGAAUAGAAAUAUCAUGGUAAAUUUGAAGUGGGCAAGUGGCUUGGUUUUAAGACAAAAAUUUGAGAAUAGAAACCGUCUAAUUUGUCAUGAUAAUGCAUUUUCUUCACUACACUGUAUUUUGUUGUGUGAAUUUGUAUGACCGAUACCAUGAUUAUAUAUUGAACGGUUGCAUUUUUGAAGAAAAUAAAAGUAAAAAGAUGUUGUUAAUUUUUAUUUAGAAGGGUAGUAUUUCUAAAGAAAAAAAAUUGAAGAUGUUAUUGAUUUUUGCUUAGAAUAGUAGUAUUUUAAAGAGAGAAAAAAAUCAAAGUUAAUUUUUUUUAUUGAUUUUUGUUUAUUGNNN